UAAAACUGUUCCCAGAAAAUCAGCAUCUUUGGCAGUCUUUCAAUCUAGCAGAGAUGAAGCACAAUUCGGCUGACACAGAUUGCUUCAAGUUAAACUUCUAAGGUGGGAAGCUCAAAAAUCUAUGCCCAGAGAGGGUACACAUUGUGAGAACAAAAAGUACUUGUCUUGUCUCUUUAUAUUACCCCUGAAGUUUGGCAGUAGAAUUUUUGAUCAUCUUAUAAUUUAUCUUUUUCUCUCUCUAGUUUUAAGACUGGUAAGGAAAAGUCCAUGCCAUCCUUCACCAUCUAUUUCUGUCCUCUGCCUUUCUCCUCAGCUCUGCAUAUCCUAUUGCUCCAACAUCUUUGUAGAUUUGGAUUAUGUAGGAAUUGUAAGAUCUUCCUCUGCCUUUAUUCUCCCUUGCAAUUCUUCUUUCUAAGAUCGUUACUAUGAGAUUAUCAUGUCUUAGUAUAUAUCCAAGCCAUUUAUUCUUUUCUUUCUUACCAUCUUAUAUGGUAAAUUUUCCUGUGUCAUUAUUUUUGCAUUUCAUUUCAGAUAUUCUCAUUUUAUUGCAGUAUGUUGUAGCCAUUUACAUACAUACUUUUACAGUCUUCAACAUUAUCUAAUUCUUAUUGGUUAAUGUCUAGAUUAUUUGGAUAAUGAUGAAAAACGAGAAAAAUUACUUUCUAUUUCUGUCUUUAUCUAUUAUAUUUGAUAAUGUUGACAUCUCCCAGUUAAUCUCAACAUUAACUGGAUUU
This 734-nucleotide long non-coding RNA is filed under the name Androctonus crassicauda. Lineage: Eukaryota; Metazoa; Arthropoda; Arachnida; Scorpiones; Buthidae. The record is from RNAcentral.